GAUGAACGCUGGCGGCGUGCCUUAUACAUGCAAGUCGAGCGAACAGACGAGGAGCUUGCUCCUCUGACGUUAGCGGCGGACGGGUGAGUAACACGUGGAUAACCUACCUAUAAGACUGGGAUAACUUCGGGAAACCGGAGCUAAUACCGGAUAAUAUAUUGAACCGCAUGGUUCAAUAGUGAAAGACGGUUUUGCUGUCACUUAUAGAUGGAUCCGCGCCGCAUUAGCUAGUUGGUAAGGUAACGGCUUACCAAGGCAACGAUGCGUAGCCGACCUGAGAGGGUGAUCGGCCACACUGGAACUGAGACACGGUCCAGACGCCUACGGGAGGCAGCAGUAGGGAAUCUGCCGCAAUGGGCGAAAGCCUGACGGAGCAACGCCGCGUGAGUGAUGAAGGUCUUCGGAUCGUAAAACUCUGUUAUUAGGGAAGAACAAAUGUGUAAGUAACUAUGCACGUCUUGACGGUACCUAAUCAGAAAGCCACGGCUAACUACGUG
RNAcentral lists this ribosomal RNA (497 nucleotides) under uncultured bacterium. RNAcentral's name for it is "partial 16S ribosomal RNA". It matches the Rfam family "Bacterial small subunit ribosomal RNA", at positions 28 to 507 of the family's 1533-position model. The record is from RNAcentral.